GGGGGAGGUGCCAAGCGUCCAGAGGUGGCAGAACGGAGAGGUCUGGCUGGUGAAAACAGACCUCCGAAACCAGCUUCAAGGAACAACACCUGGCUGCCUACUUCAGCAUCUCCUUAAAUGGACCCCAUCCUGAUGCCUUCCCAUAUGAUAGUGCAUUGGAAUAUUUUCCCACAAAGCCCUAUAAAAUAAGAUGUUGAAACAAACAGUACACACUUUGCAACAAGUAGGCUGUGCAGCAGUCACUUAAAGUGUAGCAAUGCAGCACUCACUGUAUAUUUUCCCACUUAUUUUACACAAAGUGUUGCCAGUGGAGCACUGUAUAUUUUCCUGUUAUUUCACAAACUUUACCAAUUGAGCACUCACUGUAUAUGUUUUCCAGUUCUUUCACACAAAUUAAAGCUAUAGACCACUGUAUAUAUUUCCUUAUUUGUUUGACACAACUUGAAGCCAUGGAACUGUAUAUAUUCUGUUAUUUUUUUCUCACAAAGUACUUCCCAAUUCAAAUAUUUCCAGUGCCCACCUUAUAUGGUAUUAUUUCAUAACUCAUUUUAAAAAGCGUGUGCCUCCUCCCCCCAGUCAGCUACCACUAAAAAUACAAUCUCAUUCUGUGGAGAGGGGCAUACAGGGGAUGACCAAUAAUUGGAUGGCCCAUGUGCGUUAUUUUGUAUAUUACAUUUACAUUUAUUUUCCCUUUGCGUUUUUGUGCUCUCUUGCCAUUUUACUUAUGAUUUUACUCUGUAUUUUUUUCUUUAUUUAUAUUACAAUUAAAACAAUUUACUUAAUCUUUU
This is a long non-coding RNA of Anguilla anguilla (European eel), 788 nucleotides long. RefSeq lists it as uncharacterized. The record is from RefSeq and is a predicted model, not a curated record. NCBI's taxonomy places the organism in Eukaryota, Metazoa, Chordata, Actinopteri, Anguilliformes, Anguillidae. The transcript is spliced from 2 exons.